RNAcentral lists this ribosomal RNA (497 nucleotides) under uncultured bacterium. Its description in RNAcentral is "partial 16S ribosomal RNA". It matches the Rfam family "Bacterial small subunit ribosomal RNA", at positions 28 to 507 of the family's 1533-position model. The record is from RNAcentral.
GAUGAACGCUGGCGGCGUGCCUAAUACAUGCAAGUCGAGCGAACAGACGAGGAGCUUGCUCCUCUGACGUUAGCGGCGGACGGGUGAGUAACACGUGGAUAACCUACCUAUAAGACUGGGAUAACUUCGGGAAACCGGAGCUAAUACCGGAUAAUAUAUUUAACCGCAUGGUUCAAUAGUGAAAGACGGUCUUGCUGUCACUUAUAGAUGGAUCCGCGCCGCAUUAGCUAGUUGGUAAGGUAACGGCUUACCAAGGCAACGAUGCGUAGCCGACCUGAGAGGGUGAUCGGCCACACUGGAACUGAGACACGGUCCAGACUCCUACGGGAGGCAGCAGUAGGGAAUCUUCCGCAAUGGGCGAAAGCUUGACGGAGCAACGCCGCGUGAGUGAUGAAGGUCUUCGGAUCGUAAAACUCUGUUAUUAGGGAAGAACAAAUGUGUAAGUAACUAUGCACGUCUUGACGGUACCUAAUCAGAAAGCCACGGCUAACUACGUG